RNAcentral lists this long non-coding RNA (2422 nucleotides) under Zonotrichia albicollis (white-throated sparrow). RNAcentral's name for it is "lncRNA (ENSZALG00000014924.1)". The record is from RNAcentral. Lineage: Eukaryota; Metazoa; Chordata; Aves; Passeriformes; Passerellidae.
GGUCCUCGUUAGGGGAGGGAGGAGAACGAACCGAAACAAAACAGAAAACCAGGCUGGGAGGUGUCCAGAGUUAUUUUGGCAGUCUGGGUUUCUGGACCGAGGUGCCAAAUCGCAGCUGUGUGAGAGACUUAUUCCCAGUUUGCAGAGGCGCCGAACAAUCCAGGCGGCAUUGUGCUACCUGAUUUUUAUUUUUUUUUCAUUCCGAUUUUUUUGUCCUGGAGGGUGGAGAUUAGCACUGGAGUGAAAGGACAGGGAGCUCGUUAGUGCCAGCUCGUUACCUGCCUCCUUGGCCUGCAGCCAGCGUGGGGAACAGCCAAGUCACAGAAGGAGGACUCGUGCUCGGCGCAGGGCGAGCCCAGCCCACAGCCCAAGCUCUGCCGCUCCCUCACCGUGGGGAACACGGAGAAGGUCCGGGAGGGGAAGGAGAGCCGGUCCAAGUCCGUGUGUGCCAUCCCACCGCGCCAGCCCGGCAUGGGGCUGAAGGAGCUGACUCUGGAGGUGUACAAACACAAGGGAUGCUCUGGCUCCCCAGGAGGGCUCUGACUCCUUCAGGGAGGGCUGCUGGAUGUGUAGAUAAUGUAAAUAAGAUGCACGUUGGAAAGGACAGCGUGGACAGGGUGGAAUAUCCAGAGUGGUUUGCAUGGAAAGUCACUCUUAUUGCCCAGUGUUGGGUUUUCUGUGGGAACUGAGGAAAAAGAUGCCCAGCAAUGCCAGGGAACAUUUCUAAGGAAUUUGUAGGAAAAAUUAGCCUGUUCAGUCUGGGAAAAUUUCUGAAACUGCCUACUACUGCAAGUAAGGAAAAUUUCUGAAACUGCCUACUACUGCAAGGAAGGAUGUUUUAAUAAGGUGAGAUAUGGGAUCUUCUCAUUAGUUUUCAGGGGUAGGCUAAACAGCAGGGAGCAUUUGGAUUAUAGGCUGGGAAAAACUUGAUAAUCUCAAAGAAGGUUUUAUUAGGGGUGGAGGAAAGAACAGAAACAGCAACAGAUUUCUACUUCUCCUCAGGAAUUGAUGGACCCUGAGUGUAAACAUUAAUCUCAUGAAGUCCAAAGUCAAAUGACAUGGUUCAGUAAGGGGCUGUGUCUUACCUGAGGGAUUGUCCCACACCCAGCCACAAUUCUGCUCAUGAAAAAUUUUUGCAGCUGAAUUAAAAGGGAGAAAUGUGUUCUUUCUGGUUUUUGAAAAUUUAUGUAAGGAAUGAUUCACCUCAAAGUUAAAAUGAGGAGGCUCCAAACCCAGUGGUGAUAGCAGGAGAUGAGGGGGACAGCCCUUAAAUAGAUGGGAAAAGGUUUCUGACGUGGUUGGUUGGUGGCAUUAAUCCUGUAAAGAUAUUUUGGGAUGAUCUGUGCUGCCAUAGCUGGGAGCUGUGGGUUUAGAGGGGUUUGAGAGUGCCAAGAGGGUGACCCAAACCCUGGUGGCUUCUCCCAGGAAAGGUGUGAGCCCUUUGCACAGCAGGUGCAGGAAAACUCUGGGGAUAGGACCUGAGGAAGACAGGCAGCCCCCGAUUUGGGUAAUUUUCUUUGAAACUCCAGGUAAGUUCAAGCCUUUGAAUUCUUGUCCUUCCUGAACCUGACAGGACAAGUUUCAGUUUUGCAUUGACAUUUUUCUUUUUCUUCUCCUUCCUCUGAUCCAAGAGUGUUUAAUCUGAACAAGUGGCUCUUUUUGAAACAGCAUUGAAAGAAACUGUAGGAAUUCACAGACUCCUCACCAUGAUAUUUUUGGCCUUGCAGAACCAGACUCCUUGUGUGCAGAAAUACUCCCUUAGGAGACCCCUGCAUGGUACAUUGGGGCUUUCCUUUUAAAUUCAAGGCACAAAUUUGUGCAAAUUUGCUUUGCAAUAAUCCAAUAUCUUAUUUUUUCUGAAAAAAAACCCUUAUGGUGUCCUGGCAUAAGCUGAGGUGGUUCAUAUUCACUUGAAGGUCACUCCAUCACUGUAAAUUAAUUUCAUUGCAAAGGAAAAUUUGAGCUUUUGCCAAUAGAUGUGUUUUACAGGUGUAUAUACAUACAUGUACAUAUGCAUGGACUUUAAUAUAGGCUCAUUGUCAUCUUCCAUUUAUUACAAUUUUGGUUUGUUUCCUAGUUAAAUCCAUGUGCAUGGGAGCCAUGUGGGUUUGGCUGCACUUGGUUUAGAAAACAGCCCAUUUUUGAGUAUGUUGUAAUAUAUGAUUCAAUCUCAGACAUUUAUGAAUAUGCUGUAGUGUUCUACAUUUCUCUUUCAAUUAAACUCGCUGUGUUAUGGGAUAAUUUGAGUUAUUCUCUCCUUGCAUCUUCAACGUGCUGCUGGGGACACUCAGGGGUGUCUCUGGGUGUCACUCCAGGCCAAUCCUCUUGGACCAGCAGCUCCUUCGACCCUUGGCCAGUGAUCCCAAGAUCACGAGUGAGGAAAGCAAUUGUAACAAGGAAAUAAAAUUGGUGGUGUUGUUCA